UUAGUUAACCAGAUGAUCGCGGCAAACCAAAAGUUUGACGAGGAAAGUCCGAGCUCCAUAGGACAGGGUGCUGGGUAACUCCCAGUGAAGGCAACUUUAAGGAAAGUGCAUAGAAAAUAACUGCUAACCGCUACUUAGGUAGUAGGAGUAAGGGUGGAAAAGUGAGGUAAGAGCUCACUAACACUAUGGUGACAUAGUGGUUGAGCAAACCCCACCUGGUGCAAGGUAAAAAGGGCAAAUUGGUCGUCCGCCAUGCCCUAUACACCGCUUGAAUGCAUUGGAAACAAUGCAUCUAGAUAGAUGAUCAUCUAAUACAGAACUCGGCUUAUAGGUUAAGUAACAAC
Molecule: RNase P RNA, 344 nt
Filed under: Tenericutes bacterium HGW-Tenericutes-4
Lineage: Bacteria; Bacillati; Mycoplasmatota
Description: RNase P RNA component class A
Rfam family: Bacterial RNase P class A
About the family: Ribonuclease P (RNase P) is a ubiquitous endoribonuclease, found in archaea, bacteria and eukarya as well as chloroplasts and mitochondria. Its best characterised activity is the generation of mature 5'-ends of tRNAs by cleaving the 5'-leader elements of precursor-tRNAs. Cellular RNase Ps are ribonucleoproteins.
Source: RNAcentral